This 237-nucleotide ribosomal RNA is filed under the name uncultured bacterium. RNAcentral's name for it is "partial 16S ribosomal RNA". It matches the Rfam family "Bacterial small subunit ribosomal RNA", at positions 114 to 334 of the family's 1533-position model. The record is from RNAcentral.
UAGUUCGUCAACGUACCGACUGGACGCGGAUAAUUCUCCGAAAGGAGUUGUAAUACGCGAUGAGACCACGGGCUGUCAGCAGCUUGAGGUCAAAGGUCCGGGAUCCUUCGGGACCGGGCGCCGGUUGAGCGGACGAACCCUGAUUAGCUAGUUGGCGGGGUAACGGCCCACCAAGGCGAUGAUCAGUAGCCGGGCUGAGAGGCUGUCCGGCCACACGGGCACUGAGACACUGGCCCG